The submitters of this non-coding RNA (73 nucleotides) gave its source as unclassified sequences. The record is from Rfam.
AUCAGGGCUAGGCCGACGGGCCGAAAAGGGAGGUGCCACCUUACUCCCCUGCCCUGAGUCAGCAUAAAGGUGG